CCCUACCUCUGAGAUCUUCUGAGCCAUCCUGAAGUUACUUUGACCCCUUCUGAAGUCACUUGACCCAUCUCCAGAGCCAUUCAUGCCAUCCCAAGAUGGCUUAGCCCCACUCUGGGCCAUUUCAACCACCCCAGGGCUGCUUUGACUCAUCCCUGGGACUACUUUGAUCCAUCCUGGGGCCAUUUGACUCCUCUCUUGUGCCAUUUGAGCCCCUUUGGCGUGGCUGAGCCCAUCCUUGUGGCAAUUUAUGCCAUCCCAGAGCUGCUUUGACCCAUCCCUGGGACUACUUUGACCCCUCCUGAAGUCACUUGACCCAUCUCCAGAGCUAUUUAUGCCAUCUGAAGAUGGCUUAGCCCCACUCUGGGCCAUUUCAGCCACCCCAGGGCUGCUUUGACUCAUCCCUGGGACUACUUUGAGCCAUCCUGGGGCCAUUUGACUCCUCUCUUGUGCCAUUUGAGCCCCUUUGGCAUGGCUGAGCCCAUCCUUGUGGCAAUUUACGCCAUCCCAGAGCUGCUUUGACCCAUCCCUGGGACACUUUGAGCCACUUAGCCUGUCCCUAGGGGAUUUAACUCAUCCUCGGGGCCACCCUGAUCCAUUUUAGGGCUCUCUAAAGGGCCACUUAGGGCCACUUAGCACGUCCCCAAGGCCACUGCAUCCAUCCAGGGGCAGCAGAACUGAGCCCUUCAACCCAACCCAGUGCCACUUAACCCCCACAUCCUCCCCCCGUCCCUCGGUGACCCUUCUGCCUUGAGUACAUCCCAUAAUGAUGCUCAUUCCUCCCCCAAUUUUUGUCCCCAGCGCCUCCGCACCGAGAACCGCCUGCUGAAACAACGCAUCGAAACCCUGGAGAAGGAGAGCGCGGCUCUCGCCGACAGGCUCAUCCAGGUAGUGUCCAAAAUCGCUGUUUUUUCCUCUUUUUCUUCACCCCCCCCCAAAAAAAAAACCUGUGUUUUAACCCUUUUUCUGCUUUCCAGCCUACGUCUUGCUUCUCUGGGGGGGAGAAUUUGCCCUUUCCCCCCCCCCCCCC
Molecule: long non-coding RNA, 1027 nt
Filed under: Phasianus colchicus (ring-necked pheasant)
Lineage: Eukaryota; Metazoa; Chordata; Aves; Galliformes; Phasianidae
Description: lncRNA (ENSPCLG00000017451.1)
Source: RNAcentral